Molecule: unclassified non-coding RNA, 209 nt
Filed under: uncultured fungus
Lineage: Eukaryota; Fungi
Description: sequence contains ITS1
Source: RNAcentral
UUAUUAUGUUUAUUAAAACUUGUUUACAUUCAUUAUACUGAGUUUAAUUAAAAAGGGGGGUUGACCUACUCGAUUUCCACCUUGCGGUUUCCAAAGAGCAGCCAAGAGCACAGGGUGUAUGUGGAUGUGAAGGGACUUGAAGAGCUCUUGCGAGACUCUAACAAGUAUUUAAAUCACUAGUGAUCCUUCCGCAGGUUCACCUACGGAAA